RNAcentral lists this ribosomal RNA (962 nucleotides) under Paenibacillus cineris. RNAcentral's name for it is "bacterial SSU rRNA". It matches the Rfam family "Bacterial small subunit ribosomal RNA", at positions 55 to 995 of the family's 1533-position model. The record is from RNAcentral. Lineage: Bacteria; Bacillati; Bacillota; Bacilli; Caryophanales; Paenibacillaceae.
AUGCAGUCGAGCGGACUUGAUGGAGAGCUUGCUCUCCUGAUGGUUAGCGGCGGACGGGUGAGUAACACGUAGGCAACCUGCCUGCAAGACCGGGAUAACCCACGGAAACGUGAGCUAAUACCGGAUAUCUCAUUUCCUCUCCUGAGGGGAUGAUGAAAGACGGAGCAAUCUGUCACUUGCGGAUGGGCCUGCGGCGCAUUAGCUAGUUGGUGAGGUAACGGCUCACCAAGGCGACGAUGCGUAGCCGACCUGAGAGGGUGAACGGCCACACUGGGACUGAGACACGGCCCAGACUCCUACGGGAGGCAGCAGUAGGGAAUCUUCCGCAAUGGGCGAAAGCCUGACGGAGCAACGCCGCGUGAGUGAUGAAGGUUUUCGGAUCGUAAAGCUCUGUUGCCAGGGAAGAACGUCCGGUAGAGUAACUGCUAUCGGAGUGACGGUACCUGAGAAGAAAGCCCCGGCUAACUACGUGCCAGCAGCCGCGGUAAUACGUAGGGGGCAAGCGUUGUCCGGAAUUAUUGGGCGUAAAGCGCGCGCAGGCGGUCAUUUAAGUCUGGUGUUUAAGGCCAAGGCUCAACCUUGGUUCGCACUGGAAACUGGGUGACUUGAGUGCAGAAGAGGAGAGUGGAAUUCCACGUGUAGCGGUGAAAUGCGUAGAUAUGUGGAGGAACACCAGUGGCGAAGGCGACUCUCUGGGCUGUAACUGACGCUGAGGCGCGAAAGCGUGGGGGAGCAAACAGGAUUAGAUACCCUGGUAGUCCACGCCGUAAACGAUGAAUGCUAGGUGUUAUGGGUUUCGAUACCCUUGGUGCCGAAGUUAACACAUUAAGCAUUCCGCCUGGGAGUACGGUCGCAAGACUGAAACUCAAAAGGAAUUGACGGGGACCCGCACAAGCAGUGGAGUAUGUGGUUUAAUUCGGAAGCAACGCGAAGAACCUUACCAGGUCUUGACAUCCCUCUGA